Molecule: ribosomal RNA, 257 nt
Filed under: uncultured bacterium
Lineage: Bacteria
Description: partial 16S ribosomal RNA
Rfam family: Bacterial small subunit ribosomal RNA
Source: RNAcentral
GUCCACACGGUAAACGAUGAAUACUCGCUGUUGGCGAUAUACGGUCAGCGGCCAAGCGAAAGCAUUAAGUAUUCCACCUGGGGAGUACGCCGGCAACGGUGAAACUCAAAGGAAUUGACGGGGGCCCGCACAAGCGGAGGAACAUGUGGUUUAAUUCGAUGAUACGCGAGGAACCUUACCCGGGCUUAAAUUGCGCUGGACAGAUUGGGAGACCAAUCCUUCUUCGGACCAGUGUGAAGGUGCUGCAUGGUUGUCGU